This 448-nucleotide ribosomal RNA is filed under the name uncultured bacterium. RNAcentral describes it as "bacterial SSU rRNA". It matches the Rfam family "Bacterial small subunit ribosomal RNA", at positions 29 to 524 of the family's 1533-position model. The record is from RNAcentral.
AGCGAACGCUGGCGGCAGGCUUAACACAUGCAAGUCGAGCGGACCUUUCGGGGUCAGCGGCGGACGGGUGAGUAACGCGUGGGAACGUGCCUUCCGGUUCGGAAUAACCCUGGGAAACUAGGGCUAAUACCGGAUACGCCCUUAUGGGGAAAGGUUUACUGCCGGAAGAUCGGCCCGCGUCUGAUUAGCUAGUUGGUGGGUAACGGCCUACCAAGGCGACGAUCAGUAGCUGGUCUGAGAGGAUGAUCAGCCACACUGGGACUGAGACACGGCCCAGACUCCUACGGGAGGCAGCAGUGGGGAAUAUUGGACAAUGGGCGCAAGCCUGAUCCAGCCAUGCCGCGUGAGUGAUGAAGGCCUUAGGGUUGUAAAGCUCUUUAUCCGGGACGAUAAUGACGGUACCGGAGGAAUAAGCCCCGGCUAACUUCGUGCCAGCAGCCGCGGUAAU